RNAcentral lists this long non-coding RNA (1351 nucleotides) under Rhinopithecus bieti (black snub-nosed monkey). RNAcentral describes it as "lncRNA (ENSRBIG00000046605.1)". The record is from RNAcentral. Lineage: Eukaryota; Metazoa; Chordata; Mammalia; Primates; Cercopithecidae.
UUUUAUCCUUACCUCCUUGAGGCUGACCUUGUUGCUGCUCUAUCUGGCUAGAACAGCAGCCAGGCUAAUGCAUCUUUGUAGCCCAGCACCCAGAACAGCAUCUGACACAUGCUGGCUACUCACUUAGGGUUUGUUGACUGACUAAAUAAAUGAGCCAUCAAGAUCAGUCCGUAAGGCAAUCUAAGAACCUUGAUUUUUCAUCCCCCAGGGUAAACUGAAAAUGCAUCUACCUAAACUGCAGCGGAACUUGAUAUGUUCAAGGGACAUUGUCUUUUGAUCAACUCUCUCUCCCACAUCCACUGUCCAUGCCUGUCACUGGCCACUGCUGCAGAUACUCACUUGGGCGGUGGGGGUAUAUGGGAGGGGUUGGCUGGGUUGGUGACACUCUGAGCUCAUGCCCAAGUUUUGGCGCUUCAGGCUGAUAGAGGGCAAGAAGGAGACGUCUGCACAGGAGCGCAUGCGCUCAGCGGAGGGGAGGGGCCGCCGCGCGGAGCCCUGCUCAGUCGGCUUUCAUUUUCCUUCCACCAGCACCACUUUCAGAGGAUGAUGUCAUUGGACAACGACUCCAUAAUACAUGCCAGUUAUAGUAGCAUCCCCACAGAUCCAAGCUUAACUGUUCUCAAACUGUCAAUCAAGCAACGUACAGGAGGGGGAAAAAAGGAACAACCUUCAUCAGCCAAACUUCUUCUUUGAAGUUUAAACGAAAAAAGAUCCCUGGUUGAAGGGGUUGGCCUCUCUUCAGCAGUAAAGGACAACUUCAUAGAGAUGCAUAUGUUCCCAGGGGAAAAAUGCAUUCAUUUUUCAUCACCAUAUAAACUUCUGGGUAUAUUUGUAUAGAUGAUGGACUAUGGACUUCUGGAGCAAGAUGGGGAGCGUCAGAAACCUAACUCCACGAUUUGCUGGGUUCUCCCAAACUGUAACUGGAACCUCGCUCCCAGGCCGAUGCCCCUCUUGCCUCUGCAGCUCUGGGGUCUAGGGAGGAAGGAGCCACAGAGGGUUCGGACAACAACACUGACUGAUCCCAGAGCAGGACUUCAUUCUGUUAACCUGACAAAGUGCACAAGCUGCGCUGACAUGUUUUUCCUCCACUUUCUAUGCUAAUUUAUCAAACUGGAAGAAAGAACAUCAAAUAAAAAUCCACAGCUGCAAUUAACUCAAGACCUAACAUGCACCUGGAUAAGGGGACUCACAAGACUUCCGGUAUCUACAAGGUUUUAAAUGGCAAGGUUUUCUAACUUUGUGUCUUGGGUUAUUGGUCAUCAAUGUUUCCAAAAAUAAUCACUCCUUUCCGUUACAUUUUCUGAUCAAUUAUUUAAUGAGGUCUGGGUUAUAUGACAUCAAUUUCACCCUG